RNAcentral lists this ribosomal RNA (292 nucleotides) under uncultured bacterium. RNAcentral describes it as "partial 16S ribosomal RNA". It matches the Rfam family "Bacterial small subunit ribosomal RNA", at positions 505 to 796 of the family's 1533-position model. The record is from RNAcentral.
GUGUCAGCAGCCGCGGUAAUACGUAGGCAGCAAACGUUGUUCGGAAUUAUUGGGCGUAAAGAGUGUGUAGGCGGCUUUGUAAGUUUGGUGUGAAAUCUCCCGGCUUAACUGGGAGGGUGCGCCGAAUACUGCAAGGCUUGAGUACUGGAGAGGAUAGCGGAAUUCCUGGUGUAGCGGUGAAAUGCGUAGAUAUCAGGAGGAACACCGGCGGUGUAGACGGCUAUCUGGACAGUCACUGACGCUGAGACACGAAAGCGUGGGUAGCAAACAGGAUUAGAAACCCUCGUAGUCC